Molecule: long non-coding RNA, 7764 nt
Filed under: Malus domestica (apple)
Lineage: Eukaryota; Viridiplantae; Streptophyta; Magnoliopsida; Rosales; Rosaceae
Description: long non-coding RNA (MDOM_LNC005213)
Source: RNAcentral
AUUGUGCGGGUAUCUUCAAGAAGGGGCAACCAAGAUUAUAAUCAGUCCGCCGAGAGGUCCUCUACAUCCGACCAAGUAAGUUGCACUGAGCCUCUGCUAUCUUCAAAGGAAUGUCAUAGUUGAGGAAAAUCCGGAUCAAUAUGCACUGUCAUACACUGCUGUACCUGAAGAAAAAUCAAAGGUGUUGGAGUUUUGAGCCUCCUUUAGUCCCACAUCGGGGAACUCAAGUUCCCUAGAGGUCUUUAUUUUAGGUUAGUCACCUUUAUUAGUGAUUAGGUAUUAGACCAUUUGGAAUGAGAAUUGAGAUUUGGACCACUAAAUAUGUGGACUUGAUGAUUAUACCAUAAUAUUAAUAUAAUUAGUAUUAAUUGAUCAAGACAAGGCCCUUGGUAUUUGAAGAGCUAUGAAAUUUUGAAGAGUUGUGCGGUUUUAGAUACAUCCAAAAGGUAUUUGAAGAGUUAUGAAAUAGCCUACAUAACUAAAAACUCAGUUCCAUCGUAAAUCAUAUUUUUCAUUUCCUAUCUCUCCCAUACAAUAUUGAGAAAAGAAAACUAGAGUACACAACUCUAACAUAAAUGUUGGUUAGAGAGACAACACAAGUAAACAAAUUACUUGUAUUACACGCACAAAAUAUUACUUGAAUGUCAUUUGAAUAUAUGGUCUAGAUUCACAAGCUCACAUGUAACAUGCCGGACAUCUCCAACGAGAAAUUUACCCUGUUUCUUUUCAAUUUCUUACACUGCAUAUCUUUGUUGUUUUCCAUGGCAGGCAACGACUUCAGGUAAACUAGAGCAACGAAUAGUGAUGGUCUUUCAAAAGAUGAAUCUGAAAUCAAUAUUUGCCCCUUCAACUAUUGGAGCGGUAUGCCCUUUCUGCACUUUUCCGAUUAGAAGAUGCGACUAUGGGACAGAGGUUCAGGGCCGAAGGGGUAGAGGAAGACCUAGGAAAACUUUGGAAGAGACUCUAAGAAAAGACUUAGAGUACUUGGAUCUAACGGAGGACAUGACACAGGAUCGAGCACAAUGGCGUUCUAAGAUUCAUAUAGCCGAUCCCACUCAGUGACUUGGAUUUUCCAAGUCUCCAAUCGAGAAGUUUUCCUCACUCGGGAAAUUAAGGGAACACUACCCCAACCUACAUGCUCCACUCAGAAAGCUUCAACAUACAAGCUUCAACAAAAGAAAAUUCAAAGAACUUAGCGAAGAAGGCUUUGGUGUAUUUAACACAAUACGUUGAAAUGAAGGAAAGCUUAUUUAUUGAUAUCCCCGAUCAGCUACAAAUAUGUACAUAUACAUGAGUCAAAAUAAACACACACAAGACGGAGCCUUCACAAAGGUUGCUUAGGAGAAGUCUCAGCAGUCGGUAGAGCCCCAGAAAGAGAAGGCACCGGAGGGGGAUCAUUUGGAGCCUCAAUACUGGACAGAACCCUAGAAGGAGGAGGCAUCAGAGGUUGAUCAUUCGGAGCUUCAUUACGCGGUACAGCCCCAGAAGACGAAGGCAAUAAAUGCCUUUGGAACAAACCCACAAAUCUCUGAUGAUCAAGUAAAACCUGACCAUCAGUUUCCUUCAUCUGGUCAAGCUUCCUCUUCAUGUUUGUAGCAUAGUCAUGUGCGAGCCGGUGCAACUGUUUAUUCUCAUGCUUGAGCCCUCUAAUCUCCUGUUUGAGACUCAUCACUUCAGCCGCCAAGGAUUCAACUUGGCGGGUUCGAGCAAAUAGGCGUUGGGCCAUAUUAGACACAGAACCUGCACACUGAACACUGAGAGCCAGCGAAUCCUUAACAGCUAACUCAUCAGACCGUUUGGAAAGUAGUCUGUUAUCUUUGGGAGUGAGAAGGUUCCUGGCCACCACCGCAGCGGACAUAUCAUUCUUCAUCACGGAAUCCCCAACGGUAAGAGGACCAGUAGGAGAGACGAAGGAUGGGCGCCAUAUGUUGUCUGGAGAAGGCGGGGCUGCCUCUUCAACAAGGUUCAAGUCAAAACGACGGUCGGAGGGGCCAGACAUUUUCAAAGGUGUUGAAGAUAGAAGAGGUCGGACAAAUCAAGAUCUUAGAAGUGCAAGAAUGAAGCUUCUACUGGUGGAGAUUCAAGUGUGCUUUGGAACUUAAUGUCAGCCUCUAUAAAAAUCUGCACUCGACGGAGCUUCGGAAAUCGAAGAGGCGCCUGCUCAGAAAUCGAAGAGGCGUUUGCUUUCUCAAAAGCUGGGCUGCUUAGAGAUCACGAGGGUUGAUCUCAGAAAUCGAAGAGGCGUUUGCUUUCUCAAAAGUUGGGCUGCUCAAAGACCACGAAGGCCGAUCUCAGAAAUCGAAGAGGCGCUCGCUUUCUCAAAAGCUGGGCUCCCCAGAGACCACGAGGGCCGAUCUCAGAAAUCGAAGAGGCACCUACUUUUCCAGCCUUGUCAGCACCCGUCACACGCACACUCAGCUUUGCAGAAAUUAUGGGCAUUCUGUCGAAGACUUCUGGGGAAGUAGAAAACACAUGAAUCUUACUGUUCAAUCACCCACUUCCCACACGCAACAAUAGCUCAUGGGUACCACAGAUAACUUUGCCAAAGUUCUCUGCCAAAGUUGAGCACGUGAAGCUUGCAGCUCCCACUACAUCGCUCUGACCAAGAAAGGUAAAAGAAUAGCAAAGAAACAGCACUAACAAAGUUUAGACACAUAAAUUUUGAAGGUCUAGCUACCAUAUUAUUACCCACAAGGGUAAAGGAACAGUACCACUGCUGGAUAAUUGGAAAGUCCCUGUGUGUCAACCUCUGUGCUUCGUGGCAAUGUAGACUAGCAAACAUGCCCAACCUUUACUCACUUUCGAGAAAACACUCCCAACAAGAUUGCUUGCUCCAAAAUCGAAGAGGCACCGUCCUCCGAAUCUCGAGAGCCAGACUCCCAACAUGACUACUUUCUCAAAAGCGAAGAGAGGGUAAAGGAACAGUACCAUUGCUGGAUAAUUGGAAAGUCUCUGUGUGUCAACCUUUGUGCUUCGUGGCAAGGUAGACUAGCAAACAUGCCCAACCUUUACUCACAUUCGAGACAACACUCCCAACUGGAUUGCUUGCUCCAAAAUCGAAGAGGCACCGCUCUCCGAAUCUCGAGAGCCAGACUUCCAACAUGAUUACUUCCUCAAAAAUCGAAGAGACACUGCUCUACGAAUCUCGAGAGCCAGACCCCCAGCAUGAUUGCUUUCUCAAAAAUCGAAGAGGCAUCGUUCUCCGAAUCUCGAGAGCCAGAUACCACAGACCACUUUUUCAAAGUGCUCUGACAGAGUUAAAACAUGUGAAACUGGCAGCUCCCACUACCGUGCUAUGACCAAGCAGGGUAAAGGAAUAGCAUUACUACUUGUUGUUAGGGAGACUCCUAUAUAUGUCGACCUCCAUCCCCAACGGACAGGCAGACCUGCAAAAAUGCUCAACCCUUCAUCAUAUCUGAGAGGGCACUCCCAACGAAGCCUUUCGAAAUAUUCAGCUUUCUUUCCCCCCGAUAAUACCUCUGCAAACAAGCUAUACUAGAGCAAGAAUAUCUCAUAUCAUCAGGGUUAAAAGCAAGAGUAUCCCAUAUCAUGCUUUUUCCCUGUCUUUUCCUUUGGCCUUGUUUUUACCUGCAAGACAAGGAGAAAGAGAGCAAUCAGUCAGCACUUGGAUCAAGCUUCCAGCCAAGAACUGACUGCCUGGAACCCCUUACCUGAUUACUUACCUGGCAUUGCUCUCGAGUACUCAUCUUCAACAUCUUAUGUUUCCAGGGAAGAUUCCGCAUCUACUUGAGGAACAGAUAGGGCAAGUGCGAAGGAUACAAGGAAGCAUGUGGAGACAAGCGUAACAGCACACGUGCCGAUACACCCAUUACUCUGUCAAAAGCAAAAGUAUCCCAUAUCAGCAGGGUGGAACGUACUCUAGAUUUGAUGGACUUGUUUUGACCCUCAAAUUCUUCAGUCGGCCUUAUACUCUGGAGGAAACCAGAAAACCCUCCAGCUCAGUUCAAGAAUAAGCCUGUGGAAAGUUACUUCUUCAAAAGCAAAAGUAUCUCAUAUCAUCUCUUCUCAUUUUUCUUCUUUUUAUCCUUCAUGCUGCUGCAAGAUGGGGAGAAGGUGAACAAUCAGUCGGAGCUCUGAUUGCUUACCUUGUCUGUCACCUCUUUCAGCAGACCCCCUAGCUCGGCGACUUGGGAGACUCCUACUACAUGGUUUGUAUCGCGCUUGACCAAGCCUGAGACUACAAGUAAGCUUCAAGUGAAAUUGAUACAUUACCUUGUGCAUCUCCACCAGUUAAAGAUACCACCCCUGGAUGGAGGAAGAGUACUUCCAGAGAAGAUGCCACAUCUACCUAUGAGACAGAUAAGGCAAGUCAAGACGACAUCACACUCCGAUACUUAGAAGUUUCGUGAUUACGAGAUCAUUCUCCCACAAUAUUUCCUAAUGUCAUUUGUACUAAAUCAUUCACUUGUACUCACUAAAGGAAAGCUUGAACCUAUGUACUUGUGUAAACCCUUCACAAUUAAUGAGAACUCUUCUAUUCCGUGGACGUAGCCAAUCUGGGUGAACCACGUACAUCUUGUGUUUGCUUUCCUAUCUCUAUCCAUUUAUAUACUUAUCCACACUAAUGACCGGAGCAAUCUAGCGAAGAUCACAAAAAGCGACCGUUUUCGCUACCUAGGAUCUAUCUUGCAAGAGAACGGAGAAUUAGAUGGAGAUCUCAACCAUAGAAUACGAGCUGGAUGGAUGAAGUGUAAGAGUGCAUCUGGCAUGUUGUGUGACCGUCGUAGGUCACUGAAGCUCAAGGGAAAAUUUUAUAGGACGGCAAUAAGGCCAGCGAUGUUGUAUGGCACAGAAUGUUGGGCGGUGAAGCAUCAACACGUACACAAAAUGGGUGUAGCGGAGAUGAGGAUGCUUCGUGGGAUGUGUGGGCACACGAGAAAGGAUAAGAUUGGGAAUGAGGAUAUCCGAGGUAAAGUAGGAGUAGCCGAAAUUGUAGGAAAGAUGAGAGAAAAUCGGCUCCGAUGAUUUGGACAUGUGCAAAGAAGGCCGACUGACGCUCCGGUUCGAAGAUGUGACUACGGGACAGAGGUUCAGGGCCAAAGGGGUAGAGGAAGACCUAGGAAAACUUUGGAAGAGACUCUAAGAAAAGACUUAGAGUACUUGGAUCUAACGGAGGACAUGACACAAAACCGAGCGCAAUGGCGUUCUAGGAUUCAUAUAGCCGACCCCACUUAGUGGGAAAAGGCUUUGUUGUUGUUGUUGUUGUUGUUGUUGUUAAGCAAACUUGAUCUUUUCCUGGUGUAGCUCAUUGGUUUUGCAAUCGGAGUCAUCCCUCAGAUUCGAAAAUUACUUUUAGGAGAUGGUGCUCCUCUACGGGUGAUUCAAGAUACUGCUAAUUUGUUGGGGUAUAAAACUUAUGCCCGAACUGUAUCGAACCUUAAUGUUUUAUCCAUGAUCGACGCAAUUAUUGGCAACUAAUAUAGCUUCCCGUUCUUAAUACAGUUACAUGCUAGGGAAGAUACUAACCAUGCUUGGUCCUAUAGUUGUACAUAUCCAAAUGAACAAUUUGGUUCUCAAUUAGCAUAAAAGUAGAAUAAUUGUCUCGUGUUAAUCCCAACUUUACAAAACAUAUUCAGACCAGAUGGUUUUUGAAUUUCGGCUCAAAAGACGAGUGUGUUUUUUUAUACGAAGUGUUUGUAUCAUUUUUGUUGUUCACUUGGUAUCAGUUAAAGAGACUUGUUCUUUAUGAUUGCAGAGACGGAGCCAUCCCAUCUCUCAUUUUGAUAAUAGGAGGAAACCUACUUAAAGGUAAUAACUCGUACAAAUUCUAUUAGUGUCGUACUUAAUUGUUGGUUUAGUUCAGAACUUACUUCACAUUGUUGUUUCAGGCUUGCGAGGGUCAGGGAUUCAGAAAUCUCUUGUCGUUGGCAUCAUAGUUGUUCGUUAUGUUGCCCUGCCUCUUAUAGGCGUCUUGGUUGUUAAAGGGGCACUGAAAUUGGGUUGGUGCACUCUGAUCCAUUAUAUCUGUUUGUUCUUCUGCUUCAGUUUUCACUCCCACCUGCGAUGAACAUAGGUACGCUUGCUCUUCGACUGUUUGGCAACAAAAAGUGCAAUCAGAAGUUGCUCGCUCGCUCGCUCACACUUUUUCAUAACUAAUGUAAGUUUAUUCUCAAGUAUUGUUUAUUGAUCCUUUAAAAUAUGGCAGGAAUAAUGACGCUAUUAUUUGAAGCUGGAGAGAAUGAAUGUUCAGUUAUCAUGCUGUGGACUUAUGCUUUCGCUUCACUGUCAAUUACAUUCUGGUCCGCCGCCUUCAUGUGGCUUGUCGCGCGACUGUGAAUCAAAAUUUUACAUUGAAUUCUGUCUAAUUAAUACAAGAGUAGGCAAUUUGUCAGAAGAAAUAUUACGAAGCUCCACCCCGAGUCUGCAGGGAAGUACGAAGCUCUCAGUUCAGUUCCUCCCCGUCAUUGGAUUGAACAUGCAGAGCCACGGUUUGACUCCACAGCCCACCUAGAUGACGAAUCUAGUGGUUUGUGGCUAUGAUUUGGUCGAAGUAAAAAUGGUGGUGACUUUUCUUGGUGGUUUAGAGAGAAGGCAGAGAGAGAGCUCGAGUGUUAAGAACUCAAGAGAGAGUGUGUCUCGGUGUACAACGAGGGAAGGAGAUGGGAGUGACCGAGAGUUGGGAUUAAAACCCACUUAAAAUUUCCCUCUACAUAACAAAAACCAGUAGAGCCUUAAAUUACCAGAAAAGUGAUUAAUUCAUGUUGGAAUUUUUGGAUCGUCGGGGCCGCCCCACUCUAACGACACUGAUAUUAUCCCCAACUUAAUCAUUUGCCCAAUCCGUCAAGUGUGGGAUUUUACCACAAAAAACUUCGAUGUUAGUUAAAGUAGAGUAAUACUAUUUAAGUGAUUAAUUCUUGUUGAAAUUUUUGAAUCGUCGGGGCCGCCCCACCCUAACGACACUAAUAUUAUCUCCAACUUAAUCACUUGCCCAAUCCGUCAAGUAUGAGAUUUUACCAUAAAAAACCUCGAUGUUAGUUAAAAUAGAGUAAUACUAUUUAAACCUCUUUGGUUUAUUAGUUAGAGUGAGGUAAUUCUAUUUAAACUCUUUGGUUUUUCUUGCACCAUACCAAGUUGGAAUUUUUGGAUCGUCAGCCUGCUCCACUCUAAUGACACCGAUAUUAUCCUCAACUUAACAACUGCCUAAUCCGUCAUGAGAUUUUAGCAUAAAAACGAGUGGGGUAAUAAUAUUUAAACCUCUUUGGUUUUCCUUGCACCCACGAUGUGGGACUUUAACGAUUCAUGAAUUAAAAUUACUCAAAACUACAAUUUCAAGCCACUACAUUGCUACAAGCUUCAAAAAACCAGAAGAAAAAAAAAGGUAAAAUAAACAUCAAAAACCACUUCUAACCAAUAUAAUCACAGGUUGAAUGUUUCAACAACGCUAAAACACAGUAGGAUUAUAAAACAACAAUAUUUUUCAUAUAUUAAAAAAAAAAACAACUAUUAUUUAUUUAUUAAUUCCUAGCUCAACAAAAACUAAACUUUCGGGAAAAUGCAGAGUAAAAUAUAGGAAAGCUAACCUUUUGGCGCUUAGCUCUGGGUUCAUGAUCAAGCUUGGACCCUGGACCUUUGGAAGCCAUGGCUUCGGGUCGUCUGAUCCAGAAAACCAGUGGAUCUGGACAGUACGAUCAACGCCAGUGUGCUCUCUUCCCUUCCUGUAUCUCUCUCUCUCUUGCUCUUUUCUCUUUUCUUUUUGUGUUUUGUUUGUCUGUGACUGAGGACGCCCACCAACCUCUGAUGAAG